GUGAAUCAUCAAAUCUUUGAACGCAAAUUGCACUCUCUGCUGAGAGGAUGCCUGUGUGAGUGUCAGCCUAAAAAAAAUCGACAUAGUCUCUGUUUCGCGUGGACAUUCGUCGUUAAUGGGUUCAUCUUAAACCUUUUGUGUUAAAGCGUCUUAAAAUUUUCUUGACUAAUCCACCAACGUUUCUAGCAUGUUACUUCUUACACGUUUAAAGUAUCGA
RNAcentral lists this unclassified non-coding RNA (217 nucleotides) under Glomus sp. Its description in RNAcentral is "partial internal transcribed spacer 2". The stretch from base 1 to 65 matches the Rfam family "5.8S ribosomal RNA", at positions 84 to 154 of the family's 154-position model. The record is from RNAcentral. Lineage: Eukaryota; Fungi; Glomeromycota; Glomeromycetes; Glomerales; Glomeraceae.